AGCCAACCUUACUACACUUUCAGCACCUUCAUCAACUCCAAGAUAGCCAAUAUUGAAGUUGAGAUCUGUUUUCACAAAGCCAGGGCAAACAGCAUUGAUGCAGAAAGAUGGGUACUUCUUGGCAAGAACCCUUGUGUAGGCAGUCAAAGCAGCUUUUGAGACUAUAUAUGCGGAAAGCCCAGGUGGCCACCCAUUGGUUUCUAAUGAACCCUCUUUAAAAUCAUUUAGAAACUUUUUCAGAACUUCAUCCACUUUUUCUUCUGUUAAGCUUUCAACAUCACUUAGGAUUCCUCUAGCCCAUUCAUUACGUAUGCUCUGCAUGAACAACAGUAUCAGAUACAUCACAAUGAUUGAAGAAACAGUACAUAGCAAAAGUUGGCUAGUCAGAUUGUGACUCCAAACACAGUAACAAGUUCAUGCAUAUUAGUCACAUAUACCUCCAACUUCCCCAUGGUGGAGGAAACAUUAACAAUCCUUGGUGAGUCUGACAAUUCUAUAAGGGGAAUAAAUGCUUCACACAUUAAUUUGGCUCCAUAGUAAUUUGUUCUAAUGCUUGCUUCUGUAGAUUCAUAAGUUUCAUAUGCAAAUUUUCUCCAAUCAACAGUGUCAACUUUUUCCUGUAGUCAAAGGGAAGAAAGUAAACUUCUUUCCUUGCCGCAAAUAAGGGCAAACAUCUUCAAAUAAAAAAACCAGGCCUCUUUGUAAUUAAUUUCUUUUUCAAGAAUAUACCUUUGCAAGAACAAAGAUUAAGUUCUAUCCAAAGAAAUUUGAAUAUAAUGAAAAUGUUAAGCCUAGUUAUUUCUUGGAGAAAGAAAUGUUUAUAGGAGACAUGACAUAGAAACAUAGAUACCAUUGACCAAAGAAAAAUAACUGAGCUACAAAUUUUAAGAUGGUGUGAAAGUUUAUUUAAACUUUUCUUGGUGAGCCUAUUAGGCCACCUAUAUUAUUGGUCAUUAUCGGACCACUUGUAGAUGUUUCAUUUGCAAAUUUCACAUUCAAAACAUCUCGUUUUUUAGUAUGAGAGGAA
Molecule: small RNA, 1027 nt
Filed under: Vigna angularis var. angularis
Lineage: Eukaryota; Viridiplantae; Streptophyta; Magnoliopsida; Fabales; Fabaceae
Description: Non-protein coding transcript
Source: RNAcentral